GACGAACGCUGGCGGCGUGCUUAACACAUGCAAGUCGAACGGAAAGGCCCUGCUUUUGUGGGGUGCUCGAGUGGCGAACGGGUGAGUAACACGUGAGUAACCUGCCCUUGACUUUGGGAUAACUUCAGGAAACUGGGGCUAAUACCGGAUAGGAGCUCCUGCUGCAUGGUGGGGGUUGGAAAGUUUCGGCGGUUGGGGAUGGACUCGCGGCUUAUCAGCUUGUUGGUGGGGUAGUGGCUUACCAAGGCUUUGACGGGUAGCCGGCCUGAGAGGGUGACCGGCCACAUUGGGACGGAGAUACGGCCCGGACUCCGGCGGGGGGCAGCAGGGGGAAUUUUUGCAAAAGGGGGGGAAGCCGGAUGCAGCACGGCCGCGUGGGGGAUGACGGCUUUGGGGUUGUAACCCGCUUUCGCCGGUGACGAAGGGGGGGGGAGGUAAAGGGGUAAAGAGGCCCCGGCAAGCUACGGC
Molecule: ribosomal RNA, 468 nt
Filed under: uncultured bacterium
Lineage: Bacteria
Description: partial 16S ribosomal RNA
Rfam family: Bacterial small subunit ribosomal RNA
Source: RNAcentral